RNAcentral lists this unclassified non-coding RNA (280 nucleotides) under Athalia rosae (coleseed sawfly). RNAcentral's name for it is "misc RNA ENSAEAG00005008435.1". Lineage: Eukaryota; Metazoa; Arthropoda; Insecta; Hymenoptera; Athaliidae. The record is from RNAcentral.
GGGAGAGAGAGUAAGAGAGAGAAAGAGAGAGGUGCAAGAGAAAGAAAGAGCGAAAAUGGAAGAAACAGAGAGGCUAUGAUAGAGAAAAAGCGAGAGGAAGAGAUGAGCAUUUCCGUUUCAAAGAGAGAAAAAAGGAAAAAAACGGUUUCAAAAAAAAAAAGAUGACAUCAAUUUCAGUCUUAUCAAAUCAGGAAAUCAAUAUCAACCUUUCAGUCAGAAUAAUAUAGGUGCAAAAGAAUUUCUGUACCAUGGUCGUCCUGAAAUCAGGAUAGGAUAUGCC